CUUUUCAUUCACAGNCUCGGGUGACGUUCUGGUUGUCCUGUAAUGUGUGAAAAACAGGCAUAGACAGAAUCGCGUAUUUCUUGGUUUAAUCUUUGACAUGACUGUUUUGUGCCCCAAAGGGGAGCAGAUGACAGGCCACCUGGGCCCAGAUGCUGAGAGGGGCGUAAAAGGAUGAAGGUCCUUGGACUUCUGUGGCUGACCGUUGCUCUGUGGACCGAGUGUGCUCGUUGUCUGCAAUGCUACGUGUGCAACGAGACACGCUACACCAGCUGCCAGAAUAUCGAGAACUGUUCNGAAAGUGAUCGCUUCUGCAUGAAAUACACAUCUACCACCAGGAAUGGCUUCAACAUUGAGCAAGACUGCGCUUCCAACUGCCUUGUUGCGAAAACAAACUGGCCGUCGCUCUAUACUUUCACGUGCUGCCAGGAAGAUCGGUGCAACAGUGCUGGAGUAGCCAAGGCCGACAGGUCUGUGCUGGUGGCCGCCAUCUUCGUCGGCGUUCUCAGAGCUUUGACAGAGAUGGAACUCUGACANGGCAAGGCGCUCCCGCAUGCAAAGUCACAGUCUCUCAUCUGCUCUCUGGAUGCGGCGCCCGAGUUAAUCCGGAGCCUUACAGCAAAGAAACUCCCUGUUUUGUCUGCCACUUCNGCUUCACUUUCUCAGCCUGGCUUAAGAAUGGGCAUCCGAUGCCACCAGACGCCUGUGGACUGUGACUUCUCAAUCACUGUCUUGUUUGUACUUGGAGAGCUGUUCUGGGCUCUGAGUUAAUAAUGGGAACAAUUGGGCCCAGGUCAGCCUCAGGCCAUUUCCGGCAUAUGGGCUCUUUUUGGCUGAGCUGCACCUAACAGAAUGAUGGAAAACUGGGUACAGUGUCAGCUGCAGGGUUUUUGUUUUGUUGUUGUUGUUGUGUUGUUUUCCCCUCUUCCAGUGUAAAAAGCGCAUUACAUUCUUGAUCAACAAUGCCAGAUGGAUCAGCUCAAGGGGAAACAACGCUGAAAAAGUAUCAAGGACGUUGCAAGGAUGAACGAGGGAAAAGAAAGCUGCAGAAGAGAUUCUUUUGCCUGNCUUAUUCUAGCAGACUGAUUUGAUGCAACAUUGCCAAAUGGUCAGGAGANCGGGGAGCACCUUGCUGAAGGAUAAUGUCCUUUGCUGGAUCACACUGAGAAGCCUUAGUCUGGAUAAAGUGCGCAUAGAAUUAGAUGUAUUCACUCAGUCCACCAUUUUUAUACCUUCCUCCUCCUGCAUAAAGGAACUGAAGAAGAUUUGCAACAACAAUCUGAAAUACCAAAUACAAAUUAAAACAACAACAAAAUAAAAUAACUUAACAC
This 1328-nucleotide long non-coding RNA is filed under the name Salvator merianae (Argentine black and white tegu). Its description in RNAcentral is "lncRNA (ENSSMRG00000008129.1)". The record is from RNAcentral. Lineage: Eukaryota; Metazoa; Chordata; Lepidosauria; Squamata; Teiidae.